AAAUUUCCUCUAGGUAUGAAUUCUUGUAGGUUGUUGAUGGCAGUUGAAAGACUGAUAUUUCUUGACAGUAAGCAUGUAUCAUCUGCAAACAUCACAAUAUUGAUGUUAUCUUGUAUGUGAGUAGGAAUAUCAUCUAAUAUAUCACUGCAGGAAAAUGAGAACAAUGUUGGACUGAGAACUGCUCCUUGAGGUACACCUUGCAAUAUUUUUCUCACUGUUGAAUACGAUUGGUUAAUUUGGACAAUGAAGGAACGGUUGUGAACAAAUUUAAAUUGCCAGUGUUGCAAGAUUGCAUUCUUCCAGUGGUUUUGAAGAUCAUAACACAGAAUUAUUUCUUUGGUGAUCAACAUUUCUGUUGCUUGUUUGGCCAGUUCAUCAGCCAGUGCCCUUUUAUCGACUAUCCAAAUUGAUUUUUACAAUUACGAGUGAUGUGUACAUACCUAAUUGACGAAGAGGAUGUGUGAAACGGAGCUCAUCCCUCUAGUUGAUUGCCCCAAAACAAAACUGUAAAUCCCAAAAGAUCCUCUUGAUUUCUUAUGAAUUUUUUCCCAAAAAAAUGUGGAAGAGAGAAAUAGUAAUGAAAGUGAACAAAAAUAAAAUUUCAUCUGAGAGUUCA
This is a long non-coding RNA of Planococcus citri (citrus mealybug), 616 nucleotides long. RefSeq lists it as uncharacterized. The record is from RefSeq and is a predicted model, not a curated record. The transcript has 2 exons. Lineage: Eukaryota; Metazoa; Arthropoda; Insecta; Hemiptera; Pseudococcidae.